AGACGAGGAGCUUGCUCCUCUGACGUUAGCGGCGGACGGGUGAGUAACACGUGGAUAACCUACCUAUAAGACUGGGAUAACUUCGGGAAACCGGAGCUAAUACCGGAUAAUAUAUUGAACCGCAUGGUUCAAUAGUGAAAGACGGUUUUGCUGUCACUUAUAGAUGGAUCCGCGCCGCAUUAGCUAGUUGGUAAGGUAACGGCUUACCAAGGCAACGAUGCGUAGCCGACCUGAGAGGGUGAUCGGCCACACUGGAACUGAGACACGGUCCAGACUCCUACGGGAGGCAGCAGUAGGGAAUCUUCCGCAAUGGGCGAAAGCCUGACGGAGCAACGCCGCGUGAGUGAUGAAGGUCUUCGGAUCGUAAAACUCUGUUAUUAGGGAAGAACAAAUGUGUAAGUAACUAUGCACGUCUUGACGGUACCUAAUCAGAAAGCCACGGCUAACUACGUGCCAGCAGCCGCGGUAAUACGUAGGUGGCAAGCGUUAUCCGGAAUUAUUGGGCGUAAAGCGCGCGUAGGCGGUUUUUUAAGUCUGAUGUGAAAGCCCACGGCUCAACCGUGGAGGGUCAUUGGAAACUGGAAAACUUGAGUGCAGAAGAGGAAAGUGGAAUUCCAUGUGUAGCGGUGAAAUGCGCAGAGGUAUGGAGGAACACCAGUGGCGAAGGCGGCUUUCUGGUCUGUAACUGACGCUGAUGUGCGAAAGCGUGGGGAUCA
This 716-nucleotide ribosomal RNA is filed under the name uncultured Staphylococcus sp. Its description in RNAcentral is "bacterial SSU rRNA". It matches the Rfam family "Bacterial small subunit ribosomal RNA", at positions 69 to 770 of the family's 1533-position model. Lineage: Bacteria; Bacillati; Bacillota; Bacilli; Caryophanales; Staphylococcaceae. The record is from RNAcentral.